CACGUAGGGCGCGAGCGUUGUCCGGAAUUAUUGGGCGUAAAGAGCUCGUAGGCGGCCUGUUGCGUCCGCUGUGAAAGCCCGGGGCUUAACCCCGGGUCGGCAGUGGAUACGGGCAGGCUAGAGGUAGGUAGGGGAGAAUGGAAUUCCCGGUGUAGCGGUGAAAUGCGCAGAUAUCGGGAAGAACACCCGUGGCGAAGGCGGCUCUCUGGGACGGUACUGACGCUGAGACGCGAAAGCGUGGGGAGCGAACAGG
RNAcentral lists this ribosomal RNA (253 nucleotides) under uncultured bacterium. Its description in RNAcentral is "partial 16S ribosomal RNA". It matches the Rfam family "Bacterial small subunit ribosomal RNA", at positions 524 to 776 of the family's 1533-position model. The record is from RNAcentral.